Molecule: unclassified non-coding RNA, 377 nt
Filed under: soil metagenome
Description: partial contains 5.8S ribosomal RNA, internal transcribed spacer 2, and large subunit ribosomal RNA
Rfam family: 5.8S ribosomal RNA (bases 1-121)
Source: RNAcentral
GAUGAAGAACGGCAGCGAAAUGCGAUAAGUAAUGUGAAUUGCAGAAUUCAGUGAAUCAUCGAAUCUUUGAACGCAUCUUGCGCUCCUUGGUAUUCUGAGGAGCAUGCCUGUUUGAGUGUCAUUAAAUUCUCAACUACACUGACUUUGAAUUGGUGUGGCUUGGAUUUGGGGGGAAAAUUGUUGUGGGCUUUUUGUAUAGUCUGCUCCCCUGAAAUUGAUUAGCGGUACCUUUGUGGAACUGUCUACAGGUGUGAUAAUUAUCUACAUCUUAGACAUCUGCUGGAAUGCUGCUUUCUAAACCUUACUUGUAUUGACAAUCUUGACCUCAAAUCAGGUAGGACUACCCGCUGAACUUAAGCAUAUCAAUAAGCGGAGGA